GUAGGUGGCAAGCGUUGUCCGGAAUUAUUGGGCGUAAAGCGCGCGCAGGCGGUUCUUUAAGUCUGAUGUGAAAGCCCACGGGCUCAACCGUGGAGGGUCAUUGGAAACUGGAGAACUUGAGUACAGAAGAGGAAAGCGGAAUUCCACGUGUAGCGGUGAAAUGCGUAGAGAUGUGGAGGAACACCAGUGGCGAAGGCGGCUUUCUGGUCUGUAACUGACGCUGAGGCGCGAAAGCGUGGGGAGCAAACAGGACUAGAUACCCUGGUAGUCCACGCCGUAAACGAUGAGUGCUAAGUGUUAGGGGGUUUCCGCCCCUUAGUGCUGCAGCUAACGCAUUAAGCACUCCGCCUGGGGAGUACGGCCGCAAAGGCUG
RNAcentral lists this ribosomal RNA (373 nucleotides) under uncultured organism. RNAcentral's name for it is "partial 16S ribosomal RNA". It matches the Rfam family "Bacterial small subunit ribosomal RNA", at positions 527 to 896 of the family's 1533-position model. The record is from RNAcentral.